UAUUGCACAAUGGGCGAAAGCCUGAUGUAGCGACGCCGCGUGAGUGAAGAAGUAUCUCGGUCUGUAAAGCCUUAUCAGCAGGGAAGAUAAUGACGGUACUUGAGGAGGAAGCCCCGGCUAACUACGUGCCAGCAGCCGCAGUAAUACGUAGGGGGCUAGCGUUAUCCGGAAUUACUGGGCGUAAAGGGUGCGUAGGUGGUUUCUUAAGUCAGAGGUGAAAGGCUACGGCUCAACCGUAGUAAGCCUUUGAAACUGGGGAACUUGAGUGCAGGAGAGGAGAGUGGAAUUCCUAGUGUAGCGGUGAAAUGCGUAGAUAUUAGGAGGAACACCAGUUGCGAAGGCGGCUCUCUGGACUGUAACUGACACUGAGGCACGAAAGCGUGGGGAGCAAACA
RNAcentral lists this ribosomal RNA (394 nucleotides) under uncultured bacterium. Its description in RNAcentral is "bacterial SSU rRNA". It matches the Rfam family "Bacterial small subunit ribosomal RNA", at positions 362 to 774 of the family's 1533-position model. The record is from RNAcentral.